UACGGUUGCAAAGCUGAAACUUAAAGGAAUUGACGGAAGGGCACCACCAGGAGUGGAGCCUGUGGCUUAAUUUGACUCAACACGGGAAACCUCACCCGGUCCGGACACUGGAAGGAUUGACAGACUAAAGCUCUUUCUUGAUUCAGUGGGUGGUGGUGCAUGGCCGUUCUUAGUUGGUGGAGUGAUUUGUCUGGUUAAUUCCGAUAACGAACGAGACUCUCGCCUGCUAAAUAGUUUUCCAUACGUUACWUUAUGGAACCUAAACUUNNNNNNNNNNGAUACGUACUACUCUGUGCGGUGGAUCACUCGGCUCGUGUGUCGAUGAAGAGCGCAGCUSGCUGCGAGAAGUAAUGUGAAUUGCAGAACCACAUUGAAACAUCGACAUCUUGAACGCACAUGGCGGCCUCCGGGUUACUCCGGAGGCCACGUCUGUCUGAGAGUCGGAAUUGUAGUGCUUUAAAAAUCGGCGGUCACCACCAAAAUAYAUGUCGUAUACAAUAGACACGAUAGGUGGAUGUCCGCGAGGGUUGCUUCUCGGUAGAAAGAUACAUACAAAAAGUAAAAGAGAAGCCGCCGAGUGGCGAGUUGUUGAAAGUAGCCCAGCGAAACAACGGAACAAACCCUCGGAAUAAGAAAGAAAAAGACGUGCUGUACGAAAAAGUGCAACG
This 668-nucleotide ribosomal RNA is filed under the name Tridacna maxima. RNAcentral describes it as "bacterial SSU rRNA". The record is from RNAcentral. Lineage: Eukaryota; Metazoa; Mollusca; Bivalvia; Cardiida; Cardiidae.